AGUGUGCGGAACCCGAGGCUGGAGUUGGGGGUGGGGGGGUUACCGGGAAGGUGCUCGGUACCCUGGGCUUGCACGUGGAGGUGGAGUGCAGACGCUCCCCAAAGCCGGGAAGGUCGAAGGUUUUGCCUCCCACUCGAGAGAAAUCAAAGGAUGUGCCGGAUUUCCAAUAAAUAGCACCUUUGGAUGUAGAAGAGGAAUGGCUCCCUCACCCUGCUACGCACACCCCCACGCCACCCCACAGCUCUGACACGGCUUUUCUUCGGCAGCCGCACACUGUUACCAUUCCCGGCUUGUGUGGGAGAAGACUGUUGUGCGCCUGUGUCUGUCCGCCUGGGCAGCUCCAGCCCCUGGUUAAUAAAAAAGGUACAGAUGGUUAAGACACGAAUGUGUGACGUCAGGCUCGGUUUUUAAAAGUCCCUUGUUCCCUACAUCGUUUGUGUCUCCUGAGACAGACUAUUCAGAGGAUCGAUUUGAGUCUAAUGGCAGUCAUGAGAACGAGGGACCCAUGCCAGGACUGUCAGUAUAUCGCAAUGCUGUACUUAUAACAAAAAAGUUUAUCUUUUAACAUUUUUUAACACAUAAAAAAAUGAAACUAUCAGAGUGCAAAAUGAUUCUAUCGAAACAAUUUCUUAUCUAAAAUUACAUUCCUCAUCAUAAAUUAUGCGUUCUACUUAAAAUGGAGGGAUUCUCAUAACUGGGAGGUAACAAUCAGGAUGAAGUUAAAAAAGAAGUAAUGCUAUCAACAACAAAAAAAUAUAUUUAGAAAUAUAUAAAUAAAUAAAUAUAAUUGGAGAAGUGAAAGGAUUUUUAUGAAUUUGUCUUUGAAAUUAUUUGUCUAUGAGUAACUCAUUUCAUUUGCAAUUUGCUUUGAUUUCCACACCCCCCCCCCAAAGUCUGUGCAUAAUUGGGAAUUCUUGAGAAGUGAGGAAAUCAAGUCCACAGAUUACUUUCAAAUGAGUGAAAUGUUGUAUGAAUGCUAAAGUUAACAACUUAUGAAGUUGGAAUAUUACCUUUGUAUGCAUUUAAAUAAAAAAUUAUUUUAAAAAAGUCAAAA
This is a long non-coding RNA of Myotis lucifugus (little brown bat), 1054 nucleotides long. RefSeq lists it as uncharacterized. The transcript is spliced from 2 exons. The record is from RefSeq and is a predicted model, not a curated record. Lineage: Eukaryota; Metazoa; Chordata; Mammalia; Chiroptera; Vespertilionidae.